ACUUACAUGCUGUAAGUUUUAUGCGGAAAUCCAACCGCGUACGGCCUAGAACGCCGUUUUUCUAUAAGGAGAAAUUAAAUG
RNAcentral lists this non-coding RNA (81 nucleotides) under unclassified sequences. RNAcentral describes it as "freshwater-2 RNA". It matches the Rfam family "freshwater-2 RNA". Rfam says of the family: Aquatic, esp. fresh water. No recognized genes The record is from RNAcentral.